Molecule: transfer RNA, 69 nt
Filed under: Caudoviricetes sp.
Lineage: Duplodnaviria; Heunggongvirae; Uroviricota; Caudoviricetes
Description: tRNA-Lys
Rfam family: tRNA
About the family: Transfer RNA (tRNA) molecules are approximately 80 nucleotides in length. Their secondary structure includes four short double-helical elements and three loops (D, anti-codon, and T loops). Further hydrogen bonds mediate the characteristic L-shaped molecular structure. tRNAs have two regions of fundamental functional importance: the anti-codon, which is responsible for specific mRNA codon recognition, and the 3' end, to which the tRNAs corresponding amino acid is attached (by aminoacyl-tRNA synthetases). tRNAs cope with the degeneracy of the genetic code in two manners: having more than one tRNA (with a specific anti-codon) for a particular amino acid; and 'wobble' base-pairing, i.e. permitting non-standard base-pairing at the 3rd anti-codon position.
Source: RNAcentral
UGGAACGUAGCUCAGUAGGUAGAGCAAUGGCUUUUAUCCUAAGCGAAGGUUCGAAUCCUUCCGUUCCGA